AUAUUCGGAAGGUUUUUUUGCAAAACCACUGUGAACAGCUUAGACUUCGGUCUUUGCAAUUGCUUGGGUGUCGAAAGGCGCCCAAUCUUUAAAACUUUUAUAUUUGUUCUGAAACAAUGAAAAUUUAAAACUUUCAACAACGGAUCUCUUGGUUCUCGUAUCGAUGAAGAACGCAGCAAAGCGCGAUAGGUAAUGCGAAUUGCAGACGUGAGUCAUUGAAUUUUUGAACGCAUAUUGCGCUAUUAGUUUGUCUAAUAGCAUGCUUGUUGGAGUGAUAAUCUUCCUCUCAACCAUUUUUGGUAUGAGGUCUUGCUCCUUUUAGGAGUUAAAAUCAUGGAAGUGCACACGUUAAUUAACUCUGUGCAGUUAUACACUUUUCAUCCUCCAAUCAAGCAAGGUUACCCGCUGAACUUAAGCAUAUCAAUAAGCGGAGGA
Molecule: ribosomal RNA, 435 nt
Filed under: Starmerella bacillaris
Lineage: Eukaryota; Fungi; Ascomycota; Dipodascomycetes; Dipodascales; Trichomonascaceae
Description: eukaryotic LSU rRNA
Rfam family: 5.8S ribosomal RNA (bases 129-277)
Source: RNAcentral